UACGGGAGGCAGCAGUGGGGAAUUUUGGACAAUGGGCGCAAGCCUGAUCCAGCCAUUCCGCGUGAGUGAAGAAGGCCUUCGGGUUGUAAAGCUCUUUCGCAAGGGAAGAAAACUUACACAAUAACACUGUGUGAGGCUGACGGUACCUUGAUAAGAAGCACCGGCUAACUACGUGCCAGCAGCCGCGGUAAU
Molecule: ribosomal RNA, 192 nt
Filed under: uncultured Methylophilus sp.
Lineage: Bacteria; Pseudomonadati; Pseudomonadota; Betaproteobacteria; Nitrosomonadales; Methylophilaceae
Description: partial 16S ribosomal RNA
Rfam family: Bacterial small subunit ribosomal RNA
Source: RNAcentral